This 106-nucleotide small nuclear RNA is filed under the name Castor canadensis (American beaver). Lineage: Eukaryota; Metazoa; Chordata; Mammalia; Rodentia; Castoridae. The record is from RNAcentral.
GUGCUUGUUUCGGCAGCACAUACACUAAAAUUGGAACAACAGAGAGAAGAUUAGCAUAGCCCUGCACAAGGAUGACAUGCAAAUUUGUGAAGCGUUCAUGACACAG